CUGCGUUUGGAAAGAUUUUUCGGUUGGGGAGGGGCUCGCGGCCUAUCAGCUUGUUGGUGAGGUAAUGGCUCACCAAGGCGUCGACGGGUAGCCGGCCUGAGAGGGUGACCGGCCACACUGGGACUGAGACACGGCCCAGACUCCUACGGGAGGCAGCAGUGGGGAAUAUUGCACAAUGGGCGGAAGCCUGAUGCAGCAACGCCGCGUGAGGGAUGACGGCCUUCGGGUUGUAAACCUCUUUUAGCAGGGAAGAAGCGAAAGUGACGGUACCUGCAGAAAAAGCGCCGGCUAACUACGUGCCAGCAGCCGCGGUAAUACGUAGGGCGCAAGCGUUAUCCGGAAUUAUUGGGCGUAAAGAGCUCGUAGGCGGUUUGUCGCGUCUGCUGUGAAAUCCCGAGGCUCAACCUCGGGCCUGCAGUGGGUACGGGCAGACUAGAGUGCGGUAGGGGAGAUUGGAAUUCCUGGUGUAGCGGUGGAAUGCGCAGAUAUCAGGAGGAACACCGAUGGCGAAGGCAGAUCUCUGGGCCGUAACUGACGCUGAGGAGCGAAAGGGUGGGGAGCAAACAGGCUUAGAUACCCUGGUAGUCCACCCCGUAAACGUUGGGAACUAGUUGUGGGGUCCAUUCCACGGAUUCCGUGACGCAGCUAACGCAUUAAGUUCCCCGCCUGGGGAGUACGGCCGCAAGGCUAAAACUCAAAGGAAUUGACGGGGACCCGCACAAGCGGCGGAGCAUGCGGAUUAAUUCGAUGCAACGCGAAGAACCUUACCAAGGCUUGACAUAUACGAGAACGGGCCAGAAAUGGUCAACUCUUUGGACACUCGUAAACAGGUGGUGCAUGGUUGUCGUCAGCUCGUGUCGUGAGAUGUUGGGUUAAGUCCCGCAACGAGCGCAACCCUCGUUCUAUGUUGCCAGCACGUAAUGGUGGGAACUCAUGGGAUACUGCCGGGGUCAACUCGGAGGAAGGUGGGGAUGACGUCAAAUCAUCAUGCCCCUUAUGUCUUGGGCUUCACGCAUGCUACAAUGGCCGGUACAAAGGGCUGCAAUACCGUGAGGUGGAGCGAAUCCCAAAAAGCCGGUCCCAGUUCGGAUUGAGGUCUGCAACUCGACCUCAUGAAGUCGGAGUCGCUAGUAAUCGCAGAUCAGCAACGCUGCGGUGAAUACGUUCCCGGGUCUUGUACACACCGCCCGUCAAGUCAUGAAAGUCGGUAACACCUGAAGCCGGUGGCCUAACCCUUGUGGAGGGAGCCGUCGAAGGUG
RNAcentral lists this ribosomal RNA (1259 nucleotides) under Microbacterium paraoxydans. Its description in RNAcentral is "bacterial SSU rRNA". It matches the Rfam family "Bacterial small subunit ribosomal RNA", at positions 193 to 1464 of the family's 1533-position model. Lineage: Bacteria; Bacillati; Actinomycetota; Actinomycetes; Micrococcales; Microbacteriaceae. The record is from RNAcentral.